Molecule: long non-coding RNA, 207 nt
Filed under: Lathyrus oleraceus (garden pea)
Lineage: Eukaryota; Viridiplantae; Streptophyta; Magnoliopsida; Fabales; Fabaceae
Description: Pisum sativum (pea) long non-coding RNA (PSAT_LNC019628)
Source: RNAcentral
CGUUUCGUAAAACAAAUAUUUUUUUCAUAAAAACCUAUUAGUUUAUUACUAACAUUUAUCGACCAAUUCAAACCUUUUGCAAAAAACAAUAAAUAUUAUAAAAAAAAUACAAAAAACAUUUAGUUCAUAAAAAAUAUAAAAUAUAAAUAUUCUAAUUAAUACUUUCUAAUUUCAAAAAUACAAAUAAUCUCUUUUUUACAAUAAAAC